AGAGUUUGAUCCUGGCUCAGAUUGAACGCUGGCGGCAUGCCUUACACAUGCAAGUCGAACGGUAACAGGUUAAGCUGACGAGUGGCGAACGGGUGAGUAAUGUAUCGGAACGUGCCCAGUCGUGGGGGAUAACUACUCGAAAGAGUGGCUAAUACCGCAUGAGACCUGAGGGUGAAAGCGGGGGAUCGCAAGACCUCGCGCGAUUGGAGCGGCCGAUAUCAGAUUAGCUAGUUGGCGGGGUAAAAGCCCACCAAGGCGACGAUCUGUAGCUGGUCUGAGAGGACGACCAGCCACACUGGGACUGAGACACGGCCCAGACUCCUACGGGAGGCAGCAGUGGGGAAUUUUGGACAAUGGACGAAAGUCUGAUCCAGCCAUGCCGCGUGCGGGAAGAAGGCCUUCGGGUUGUAAACCGCUUUUGUCAGGGAAGAAACGACGUCCUCUAAUACAGGGUGUUAAUGACGGUACCUGAAGAAUAAGCACCGGCUAACUACGUGCCAGCAGCCGCGGUAAUACGUAGGGUGCAAGCGUUAAUCGGAAUUACUGGGCGUAAAGCGUGCGCAGGCGGUUAUGCAAGACAGAUGUGAAAUCCCCGGGCUCAACCUGGGAACUGCAUUUGUGACUGCAUGGCUAGAGUACGGUAGAGGGGGAUGGAAUUCCGCGUGUAGCAGUGAAAUGCGUAGAUAUGCGGAGGAACACCGAUGGCGAAGGCAAUCCCCUGGACCUGUACUGACGCUCAUGCACGAAAGCGUGGGGAGCAAACAGGAUUAGAUACCCUGGUAGUCCACGCCCUAAACGAUGUCAACUGGUUGUUGGGAGGGUUUCUUCUCAGUAACGUAGCUAACGCGUGAAGUUGACCGCCUGGGGAGUACGGCCGCAAGGUUGAAACUCAAGGGAAUUGACGGGGACCCGCACAAGCGGUGGAUGAUGUGGUUUAAUUCGAUGCAACGCGAAAAACCUUACCUACCCUUGACAUGUCUGGAAUCCUGAAGAGAUUUGGGAGUGCUCGAAAGAGAGCCAGAACACAGGUGCUGCAUGGCCGUCGUCAGCUCGUGUCGUGAGAUGUUGGGUUAAGUCCCGCAACGAGCGCAACCCUUGUCAUUAGUUGCUACGAAAGGGCACUCUAAUGAGACUGCCGGUGACAAACCGGAGGAAGGUGGGGAUGACGUCAGGUCAUCAUGGCCCUUAUGGGUAGGGCUACACACGUCAUACAAUGGCCGGUACAGAGGGCUGCCAACCCGCGAGGGGGAGCCAAUCCCAGAAAACCGGUCGUAGUCCGGAUCGUAGUCUGCAACUCGACUGCGUGAAGUCGGAAUCGCUAGUAAUCGCGGAUCAGCUUGCCGCGGUGAAUACGUUCCCGGGUCUUGUACACACCGCCCGUCACACCAUGGGAGCGGGUUCUGCCAGAAGUAGUUAGCCUAACCGCAAGGGGGGCGAUUACCACGGCAGGGUUCGUGACUGGGGUGAAGUCGUAACAAGGUA
Molecule: ribosomal RNA, 1482 nt
Filed under: metagenome
Description: bacterial SSU rRNA
Rfam family: Bacterial small subunit ribosomal RNA
Source: RNAcentral